UAUUGGGCACUGGGCGCAAGCCUGACCCAGCAACGCCGCGUGAAGGAAGAAGGCUUUCGGGUUGUAAACUUCUUUUAAGAGGGACGAAGAAAGUGACGGUACCUCUUGAAUAAGCCACGGCUAACUACGUGCAAGCAGCCGCGGUAAUACGUAGGUGGCAAGCGUUAUCCGGAUUUAUUGGGUGUAAAGGGAGAGUAGGCGGGACUGCAAGUCAGAUGUGAAAACUAUGGGCUCAACCCAUAGCCUGCAUUUGAAACUGUAUUUCUUGAGUGCUGGAGAGGCAAUCGGAAUUCCGUGUGUAGCGGUGAAAUGCGUAGAUAUACGGAGGAACACCAGUGGCGAAGGCGGAUUGCUGGACAGUAACUGACGCUGAGGCGCGAAAGCGUGGGGAGCAAACAG
Molecule: ribosomal RNA, 399 nt
Filed under: uncultured bacterium
Lineage: Bacteria
Description: bacterial SSU rRNA
Rfam family: Bacterial small subunit ribosomal RNA
Source: RNAcentral